RNAcentral lists this ribosomal RNA (572 nucleotides) under Parzaommomyia sp. D2088. Its description in RNAcentral is "eukaryotic LSU rRNA". It matches the Rfam family "Eukaryotic large subunit ribosomal RNA", at positions 644 to 1162 of the family's 3401-position model. Lineage: Eukaryota; Metazoa; Arthropoda; Insecta; Hymenoptera; Eulophidae. The record is from RNAcentral.
AGGACCCGUCUUGAAACACGGACCAAGGAGUCUAACAUGUGCGCGAGUCAUUGGGACUUGUAAAGCCUAAAGGCGCAAUGAAAGUGAAGGUCUGCCCAGCGCAGACCUAGGGAGGAUGGCUCGCGUCACGAUGCGAGCCCGCACUCCCGGGGCGUCUCGUGCUCAUUGCGAGCAGAGGCGCACCCAGAGCGUACACGUUGGGACCCGAAAGAUGGUGAACUAUGCCUGGUCAGGACGAAGUCAGGGGAAACCCUGAUGGAGGUCCGUAGCGAUUCUGACGUGCAAAUCUAUCGUCGGAACUGGGUAUAGGGGCGAAAGACUAAUCGAACCAUCUAGUAGCUGGUUCCCUCCGAAGUUUCCCUCAGGAUAGCUGGCACUCGCUUGAGCGAGUCUCAUCUGGUAAAGCGAAUGAUUAGAGGCCUUGGGGCCGAAACGACCUCAACCUAUUCUCAAACUUUAAAUGGGUGAGAUCUCUGGCUUGCUUGAACGUUGAAGCCACGAGAUGCAAUCACAUUGCAAUGGAUCAGAGUGCCAAGUGGGCCAAUUUUGGUAAGCAGAACUGGCGCUGUGGG